This 617-nucleotide long non-coding RNA is filed under the name Ananas comosus (pineapple). RNAcentral describes it as "long non-coding RNA (ACOM_LNC036492)". The record is from RNAcentral. Lineage: Eukaryota; Viridiplantae; Streptophyta; Magnoliopsida; Poales; Bromeliaceae.
CUCCUAAUUUGAUCAUAUCAAAUUAAUAAUCCAAUAUUUGCACAUAAAUCCCCUCAUAAUUUACUAAGCGUUAAUAAGUCCUAUCUUUUAACAUUUACACUUUAAUACCACUAAUUUGUAACAAUUAUAAAUUAAUCAAUUAUCAACAUAUUGAUCAUUAGAUCCUCCGGCGAUUCAAAAUCGCUAUCUAACUAUCCGAUCAGUCGCAACUUCUUAUUGUGUGACACCAUAGAUUCUAUUCUAUCUGGUAGUGAGAUAUAUUUUGAUCACUAUCAACAAUAUCACUGAAACUCCUUUCAGUGGAUCGGAACAAAUCCAACUCUCAGCCCAAUGAGAAUUAUCAUCAUCCAAAUAAUUCUCAUGAGUCUCACAAUCUACCAGUGACGCUUAGCAACAUGUAGUGGCAUUUCAGUAUAAUGGAAUAUUGAACCUCUUGGUGCAGUUACCGUGUGAUACAGUCUUUCUAUCAUGAGUCCCGACUAGACGGAGGUCAUGGAAUAAUUCGUCAAACACCAUCAUCUGUUAUAUGUUAAAUUUAUUCGAUUCAAAUUUCUAGUAUCGAAAAUCUUUUUCUGCUAUUAACUCAUAAAUCACAUAGGACUAACGCUUCUAUCUAC